GCGUCCGUAGCACAGUUGAAUGAGCAGUGGGACUGUACCCCACGGUCCCGGGUUCAAGUCCCGACGGUCGCU
This is a non-coding RNA of Phthorimaea operculella (potato tuberworm), 72 nucleotides long. Lineage: Eukaryota; Metazoa; Arthropoda; Insecta; Lepidoptera; Gelechiidae. The record is from the annotation of a GenBank genome assembly.